GAUGAACGCUGGCGGCGUGCCUAAUACAUGCAAGUCGAGCGAACGGACGAGAAGCUUGCUUCUCUGAUGUUAGCGGCGGACGGGUGAGUAACACGUGGAUAACCUACCUAUAAGACUGGGAUAACUUCGGGAAACCGGAGCUAAUACCGGAUAAUAUUUUGAACCGCAUGGUUCAAAAGUGAAAGACGGUCUUGCUGUCACUUAUAGAUGGAUCCGCGCUGCAUUAGCUAGUUGGUAAGGUAACGGCUUACCAAGGCAACGAUGCAUAGCCGACCUGAGAGGGUGAUCAGCCACACUGGAACUGAGACACGGUCCAGACUCCUACGGGAGGCAGCAGUAGGGAAUCUUCCGCAAUGGGCGAAAACCUGACGGAGCAACGCCGCGUGAGUGAUGAAGCUCUUCGGAUCGUAAAACUCUGUUAUUAGGGAAGAACAUAUGUGUAAGUAACUGUGCACAUCUUGACGGUACCUACUCAGAAAGCCACGGCUAACUACGUG
This 497-nucleotide ribosomal RNA is filed under the name uncultured bacterium. Its description in RNAcentral is "partial 16S ribosomal RNA". It matches the Rfam family "Bacterial small subunit ribosomal RNA", at positions 28 to 507 of the family's 1533-position model. The record is from RNAcentral.